UAUAACUCUCUCCUUCUGCUCUAUAAGACCACGUUUAGAACCAAAUCCAAAUGCAUGAAUUCUAUAGCAGUCUUUAAUGCCUUCUUAUCCCUUAUUGGCUCAGUGAACCAGGUUUUGUGGCCAUCCAAUACCAAAAAAAACAGGCAAACGCCAAUAUAAGAAAUGAAAGGACCGGCCGUGGGAUAAUUGAGCACACUUCGAUCCACACAGUACAUAAGCACACAAACACAACAGAAACAAGAUCGUUUUAUAGAGGAAAAAUAACUAGAACAAACGUAAAAUGCAAAAUAGGAGAGAUAAAUAAGAAAUAAAAAUAAAAGAAAAGAAAGCACACC
This 335-nucleotide long non-coding RNA is filed under the name Elaeis guineensis (African oil palm). RNAcentral describes it as "long non-coding RNA (EGUI_LNC033295)". Lineage: Eukaryota; Viridiplantae; Streptophyta; Magnoliopsida; Arecales; Arecaceae. The record is from RNAcentral.